Molecule: long non-coding RNA, 748 nt
Organism: Ornithorhynchus anatinus (platypus)
Lineage: Eukaryota; Metazoa; Chordata; Mammalia; Monotremata; Ornithorhynchidae
Exons: 3
Source: RefSeq, a predicted model, not a curated record
AAAAAGUUCAGUGCCUUCAGGGAUCAGACUCUUGGGUAGGAUUGAGAGUAUUUAAUGAAUACUUCCAAAGGAUUCAUUGUAUACUUCCCAUACUAAGCACUGAGAGGAACACCUCAGUGGCAAGUAGGCAAUAAGGAAACCUAGGGAUUUCUAGCCAGAGGGAAAUCUGGAACCCAGAAUGAAGGCAGUUGGCAAGGAAGUCGAUAAGGGAGGGAAAGCCUUAUUGUUCAAGUGAGGGAGAGCAAAGCGGAAUUCCUUCUCACCUGCCAGGAGAUGCUUCAGAUGGUCCCAGGGCCCGAUUCACACCGGCUUUCCUCUUUGCCACAACAGCUGGAAGGUCCAAGCCCGGGGGGUGCUUCUGGAGGCUCAGAAGGAAAUGGGAAGAAAUGCAAAGUCAGUUUCUCUAAAACGACACAUUCCUCCACCUCUGGCCCCCCAGAUCGACCAACUGUUGAAGACGCACGAGACGACCCCUUCAGAAGCGACGGCCAGACACAGAAGCGUCCCUUCGUGGGAGACCGAGGAUGGACAGAGUGACUCCGGAGACGGGACUGUCCCAACAGCACAGGAAGGGGGUGUGAGGCCAAGGAGUAUUGGACAUCUGCUGAAGACACAAAGUCAUAGUGAGUUAAAGUCUCCCUUUGGUCAUCCCCCCUCAACUGCCCAGCAUUGCACUUGGAAGAAAAUGUACAACUUGGGUGAAGGGUCAUUUUGAAAAAAAAAAAAAUUAAAGACAUCUGGGAAUUGU